RNAcentral lists this ribosomal RNA (404 nucleotides) under Verrucomicrobiota bacterium. Its description in RNAcentral is "Verrucomicrobia bacterium partial 16S ribosomal RNA". It matches the Rfam family "Bacterial small subunit ribosomal RNA", at positions 355 to 776 of the family's 1533-position model. The record is from RNAcentral. Lineage: Bacteria; Pseudomonadati; Verrucomicrobiota.
UGGGGAAUAUUGCACAAUGGGCGCAAGCCUGAUGCAGCAACGCCGCGUGAACGAUGAAGGUCUUCGGAUCGUAAAGUUCUGUUGCAGGGGAAGAUAAUGACGGUACCCUGUGAGGAAGCCCCGGCUAACUACGUGCCAGCAGCCGCGGUAAUACGUAGGGGGCUAGCGUUAUCCGGAUUUACUGGGUGUAAAGGGAGCGCAGACGGCUGUGCAAGUCUGAAGUGAAAGCCCGCGGCUCAACUGCGGGAUUGCUUUGGAAACUGUGCGGCUUGAGUAUCGGAGAGGUAAGCGGAAUUCCAAGUGUAGCGGUGAAAUGCGUAGAUAUUUGGAGGAACACCGGUGGCGAAGGCGGCUUACUGGACGAAAACUGACGUUGAGGCUCGAAGGCGUGGGGAGCAAACAGG